UGAAGUCCAGUUGGCAUGAGCACAGGACAGGAGGAGUUUAAAUGAUGUGCAGAUAUCACAUCAUACCAGCCUAUAUAAAUCUUCAGCUGGAUACAAAUAUCUACUAAGAUAUCUUCUUAUUGCUAGUGGAGCUUUUUAAAAUGCAUCCUUUUCCUUUUUUCCAAUUGUUUGUUUUAGAUACAUUGAUGCCAUUCACUGAUCUAUUCUGAUAACUCAGUUUUUACCGAGUCCCUGCAUUGAUACAAAAAACUUCAGUUUUAAAUCGAGCAAUCAAAAUUCCAUUCAGUUCUUUGAUGAGAAAUACAAGCCUUCUUUGGUGGAGAAGAUAAAGUCUCACCGGAUAAAAAUGCAGACAACAGAAAACGAGGUUCUGUUUAAUUUUUUUAAGGCAAGGAAGCAAACAACAACAAAAAUUGUGCUCAGGGAAAGUAAAUGAUAUCUGUCUACAGUCUUUCAAUUUCUCGAAAGUGAGAGGGCAAUAAAAGGGCUGCCAAAUCAGAAUAAACCUGAAAAAGAAAUAUUCUGCAGUCCGUGAUUGAAAGUGAACAUAAAAGGCUGUCAGGUAGAUGGAUGCCUUAUUGCUAUUUCAUAUUUGAAAGUGGGAAACAAGGACAAAAAACAGCUGAAGAUGUGAAAUCUCAUGUCUUCCAUCUAUUUCAGGGGACCUGGCAGAUGCAGCUAACCUUGGCUUUUGAUCAUGAUCAUAUUCCCUAUGCUUUUCUACACAUUGAUCAGCUGAUCCACCUGAUGAAAGCUUGUCACAGAGAGUACGCUAGAGAAUUAUAUUUAUUAUGUACACAUUUCUCACUGUUACGUUUUUACAGCAAACAAGCUCUGAAUGCCAAAAAAAAAGGAGGUUAGCAAGUAAAUAUAGUUGCAGCACAGUGGGAAGUGGACUGAUAACAACCCCUCAAAUUCAGCUUGCAAAUCUUCAAUUUCUUCUUUCAAAUUUGAGACAACAAAAGCAGAUCCUUGCAAACUGCUUGCUGUGUGUUCAACACAGUUGGCAUUCUUAUC
Long non-coding RNA from Crotalus tigris (Tiger rattlesnake), 1017 nucleotides. RefSeq lists it as uncharacterized. Lineage: Eukaryota; Metazoa; Chordata; Lepidosauria; Squamata; Viperidae. The transcript has 3 exons. The record is from RefSeq and is a predicted model, not a curated record.